CUGUCUGCGUCCUGCAAGACGGAGGCGUAACUUGUAGGAGGCGUAACUUGUACUAGGAGGCGUAACUUGUUAUUUUCUAAAUCGCGGACCACGCGAGAUCUUUCUCUUUUCGUGGUAAACAAAAAGCGUUGUAAAUCACGGUUCACACGAGAUCUUCAUUGAAGUCGGGUCUUCCGAUAUUCAUGAGUCAUGACGGACGCAGACAGACCCAACUCCGCCCGCCAGCCUCCCGUCCACACGGGGCACUGCUUCUGCUACAGAAAUCCAGAAGAUUUACACUAUGUGCACUAGAAGCCCCGCCCGAACCAACCGCCCUGCACCGGCUGGGGGGCCGGAGGGGCGUGGCCCUGGGCGUCGGGGGCGGAGCCCUGGGCGUCGGGGGGCUGGUCCUCCUGGCCAGCAGGGGGUGCUAUGAGGCAGCGGGUGUGACUGAGCUCCUCCUCCGGCCUGAGGGGCGUGGCCUGGUGGAAGAUGGGGUCCUCCGCCCUACAGCAACACAGGGUAGCGCCGUUUACAUCGAUAUCUCCGUAGGCUUCGAGCUCUUUUCCCCCCAUACUAUUGACGUCAUGACCUUCUGGGUCCAUUCUUAUAUGAAAUCCUAAUAAAUAAUUAGAUGUCAAUAUUCCCAAAUAAUAAACCAUAAUUAAGGACUGGGAUUCAAACAGGAAGGUGGUUCUUCUUCUGUGGUUCUCACUUGUUGUACGGAGGAAUCUGAAGGUCCAGCUCCUCCAUCAGCAGCUCCAUCACCUCAUCACACCUCCCGUUGAUCUUCAGUGUCGCCAAAUCAUCUUUUGGAGUCCACUACAAACAGAGAGGCCAUGGUUCAGUCAGAGCUUCCUGUUCCAGGAUCGGACAUUCCUCAGAUCGGGUAUCGGCGAGUACGCAAGUAUAUGUGCCGGUACAAUCACAUGACUCCUUUGCUACACAGAGAACAUGAAACACUACAGUGUUAUACUUCUUUCGUUAACGGUCGGAGGUGGAAAUCUCUUGAUUAAUAAUUAUAAAUGUAAAUGAUCUGUCAACGUAAGAGAACCCUUCAAUGAACAAGUGCUGUUAGCAGCUACGAUGCUAAAGGCUGUGUCGGUGAGAACUCGAUAUCAGCCCAUACUCAAGUUCAGGCAUCAGGAAGCAAAAAAUGGUAUCGGAACAGGCCUACUUGGAGGUUAACGAUGAAGAGGAGGGGCCUACGAUGAAGAGGAGGGGCCUACCUGGAGGUUAACGAUGAAGAGCAGGGGCCGCCUCUUGGCCGGUCGGUUCAUGCUCCACAGACAAGCGUACUUCUUUAAAACCUGUCGGGACGAAGAGCAGAAUGUAAGCAUCCUAACGCGUCAUCAUGAUGAGGUUUGGUUUGUCUCCCUCUGUCUUGGCUCCGCGGUGGGGGAACGAGCUCCCUGCAGACGUCAGGACCACAGAGUCGCUCACCUGGACUCUGCCUCCCCCCAUAACUCCCACACCCCUCUCACUAAGGCUGGCCCGAAUUAUUCGAAUAUUCUAAUACUCGUUCGGAAAAUUAGUAUUCGAAGCUUAAAUCGGUAUUCGGAGCUUCGUUUUUGUUUUUUUUCACGUACGUGACGUUACCAGAGCGAGGGAGGCAAACUAUAAGCGUCAGCGACACCAAGCAGAGAAGCGAGAGAGGUGGAGGAAAGAAUAGAUAUCUCGUUUCCCUUUACUUUAUAACACAACAUUAGUGGGAUCUCUGGAGGAAAAGUAAUACUUAAAACCUUAGCUUAGUUGUUUGUUUACGUUCGCUGUACAGCGCCGCGCCAAUCAACUGUGACUGGCUUGCUGCAGAGCGUGAGCGUCUUGGGAAUACCCGGUCAAUAUAAUGGAUAUAAUAUGGACACAUAUCAAUCAAUAUUCGGUAUUUGUUAUGGAUUUAUUGUACAAAUUCCCUGAAAAGAUCCACGUUCCAGGAUGAAUUGAAAAGCUCUCGUAAGGGGUGAGAUGGCAGAGAACAGCUGAUUUGGAACGGAGCAACAGCUGUUCGCUUUCACGGGGAAAAACUAAGGAACCCAACCUACUUAGGCCUACUAAUUAACGUUCAAAAGCUAUUAAAUCUUCAACAAAAUAUGCAGAUACUGUCAAAAUCGGUUCCAGGGAGUAUAUAGGGAUUAUUAAUGUUGUUUUUGAUGGUGUUUUUUUCUGGAACGAGUAUUCGAAUAUUCGCUCGGAAAAACCAACGAGUAUUCGAAGCCUAAAAAAUGGCAUUCGGGCCAGCCCUACCUCUCACACACACUGUAUGUCGUCCUUAGUUAAAGUACUCAGUUGUAGUUAGUAGUUAGGGGCCCUGGGUUAGGGUCAGGGCCUCACCUCGAGGCUGGGGCCCUGGGUUAGGGUCAGGGCCUCACCUCGAGGCUGGGGCCCUGGGUUAGGGUCAACCUCAGGGCCUCACCUCGAGGCUGGGGCCCUGGGUCAGGGCCUCAC
This is a long non-coding RNA of Gadus chalcogrammus (walleye pollock), 2424 nucleotides long. RefSeq lists it as uncharacterized. The record is from RefSeq and is a predicted model, not a curated record. NCBI's taxonomy places the organism in Eukaryota, Metazoa, Chordata, Actinopteri, Gadiformes, Gadidae. The transcript has 3 exons.